AGUGAACGCUGGCGGUAGGCCUAACACAUGCAAGUCGAACGGCAGCACAGUAAGAGCUUGCUCUUACGGGUGGCGAGUGGCGGACGGGUGAGGAAUACAUCGGAAUCUACUUUUUCGUGGGGGAUAACGUAGGGAAACUUACGCUAAUACCGCAUACGACCUACGGGUGAAAGCAGGGGAUCUUCGGACCUUGUGCGAUUGAAUGAGCCGAUGUCGGAUUAGCUAGUUGGCGGGGUAAAGGCCCACCAAGGCGACGAUCCGUAGCUGGUCUGAGAGGAUGAUCAGCCACACUGGAACUGAGACACGGUCCAGACUCCUACGGGAGGCAGCAGUGGGGAAUAUUGGACAAUGGGCGCAAGCCUGAUCCAGCCAUACCGCGUGGGUGAAGAAGGCCUUCGGGUUGUAAAGCCCUUUUGUUGGGAAAGAAAAGCAGCAGGUUAAUACCCCGCUGUUCCGACGGUACCCAAAGAAUAAGCACCGGCUAACUUCGUG
RNAcentral lists this ribosomal RNA (492 nucleotides) under uncultured bacterium. Its description in RNAcentral is "partial 16S ribosomal RNA". It matches the Rfam family "Bacterial small subunit ribosomal RNA", at positions 29 to 507 of the family's 1533-position model. The record is from RNAcentral.